CCUACUCCCCAUUUUACACAAAUUACAUCCCUUCAGAAACACAUAUACCCACACACACUCUGCAUUCAUUAUACACACGCACACUCUGCAUUCAUUAUAUUCACACACUACACGUACACUCUGCAUUCAUUAUUUACACACACUAUACAAACACGCACACUCUGCAUUCAUUAUUUACACACACUAUACAAACACGCACACUUUGCAUUCAUUAUAUACACAAACUAUACAAACACACACACUCUGUAU
Non-coding RNA from Pelobates cultripes (western spadefoot toad), 249 nucleotides. The record is from the annotation of a GenBank genome assembly. Lineage: Eukaryota; Metazoa; Chordata; Amphibia; Anura; Pelobatidae.